GAUGAACGCUGGCGGCGUGCCUAAUACAUGCAAGUCGAGCGAACAGAUGAGGAGCUUGCUCCUCUGACGUUAGCGGCGGACGGGUGAGUAACACGUGGAUAACCUACCUAUAAGACUGGGAUAACUUCGGGAAACCGGAGCUAAUACCGGAUAAUAUAUUGAACCGCAUGGUUCAAUAGUGAAAGACGGUUUUGCUGUCACUUAUAGAUGGAUCCGCGCCGCAUUAGCUAGUUGGUAAGGUAACGGCUUACCAAGGCAACGAUGCGUAGCCGACCUGAGAGGGUGAUCGGCCACACUGGAACUGAGACACGGUCCAGACUCCUACGGGAGGCAGCAGUAGGGAAUCUUCCGCAAUGGGCGAAAGCCUGACGGAGCAACGCCGCGUGAGUGAUGAAGGUCUUCGGAUCGUAAAACUCUGUUAUUAGGGAAGAACAAAUGUGUAAGUAACUAUGCACGUCUUGACGGUACCUAAUCAGAAAGCCACGGCUAACUUCGUG
This 497-nucleotide ribosomal RNA is filed under the name uncultured bacterium. RNAcentral's name for it is "partial 16S ribosomal RNA". It matches the Rfam family "Bacterial small subunit ribosomal RNA", at positions 28 to 507 of the family's 1533-position model. The record is from RNAcentral.